AGAGUUUGAUCAUGGCUCAGGACGAACGCUGGCGGCGUGCCUAACACAUGCAAGUCGAACGGGGCACCUUCGGGUGCUUAGUGGCGAACGGGUGAGUAACGCGUGAGAAACCUGCCUUUCAGUGGGGGACAACAGUUGGAAACGACUGCUAAUACCGCAUAAUGUUAUUUGAGGGCAUCCUCGGAUAACCAAAGCUUAAUGUGCUGAAAGAUGGUCUCGCGUCUGAUUAGCUAGAUGGCGGGGUAACGGCCUACCAUGGCGACGAUCAGUAGCCGGUCUGAGAGGAUGAACGGCCACAUUGGGACUGAGAUACGGCCCAGACUCCUACGGGAGGCAGCAGUGGGGAAUAUUGGGCAAUGGGGGAAACCCUGACCCAGCAACGCCGCGUGAAGGAAGAAGGCCUUCGAGUUGUAAACUUCUUUUACCAGGGACGAACAAAAUGACGGUACCUGGAGAAAAAGCAACGGCUAACUACGUGCCAGCAGCCGCGGUAAUACGUAGGUUGCAAGCGUUGUCCGGAUUUACUGGGUGUAAAGGGCGUGUAGGCGGAGAUGCAAGUUGGGAGUGAAAUCCCGGGGCUCAACCCCGGAACUGCUUCCAAAACUGUAUCCCUUGAGUAUCGGAGAGGCAAGCGGAAUUCCUAGUGUAGCGGUGAAAUGCGUAGAUAUUAGGAGGAACACCAGUGGCGAAGGCGGCUUGCUGGACGACAACUGACGCUGAGGCGCGAAAGCGUGGGGAGCAAACAGGAUUAGAUACCCUGGUAGUCC
This 767-nucleotide ribosomal RNA is filed under the name uncultured bacterium. RNAcentral describes it as "bacterial SSU rRNA". It matches the Rfam family "Bacterial small subunit ribosomal RNA", at positions 8 to 796 of the family's 1533-position model. The record is from RNAcentral.